This 257-nucleotide ribosomal RNA is filed under the name uncultured bacterium. RNAcentral's name for it is "partial 16S ribosomal RNA". It matches the Rfam family "Bacterial small subunit ribosomal RNA", at positions 793 to 1055 of the family's 1533-position model. The record is from RNAcentral.
GUCCACGCCCUAACGAUGUCUACUAGUUGUCGGUUUAAUUAACUUGGUAACGCAGCUAACGCGUGAAGUAUACCGCCUGGGGAGUACGGUCGCAAGAUUAAACUCAAAGGAAUUGACGGGACCCGCACAAGCGGUGGAUGAUGUGGAUUAAUUCGAUGCAACGCGAAACCUUACCUACCCUUGACAUGUACGGAAGCUUGGAGAGAUCUGAGCGUGCUCGAAAGAGAGCCGUAACACAGGUGCUGCAUGGCUGUCGU